UACGGGGGGAGCAAGCGUUGUUCGGAUUUACUGGGCGUAAAGGGCGCGUAGGCGGCUGUUCAAGUCUGCUGUCAAAGCGCAGAGCUUAACUCUGUACAGGCGGUGGAAACUGAAGAGCUAGAGUAUGGUAGGGGUAGAGGGAAUUCCCGGUGUAGCGGUGAAAUGCGUAGAUAUCGGAAGGAACACCAGUGGCGAAAGCGGCUUCCUGGUCCAGCACCGACGUUCAGGCACGAAAGCGUGGGGAGCAAACAGG
RNAcentral lists this ribosomal RNA (253 nucleotides) under uncultured bacterium. RNAcentral's name for it is "partial 16S ribosomal RNA". It matches the Rfam family "Bacterial small subunit ribosomal RNA", at positions 524 to 776 of the family's 1533-position model. The record is from RNAcentral.